This 1088-nucleotide ribosomal RNA is filed under the name Paralulworthia halima. RNAcentral describes it as "SSU rRNA". It matches the Rfam family "Eukaryotic small subunit ribosomal RNA", at positions 62 to 1165 of the family's 1831-position model. Lineage: Eukaryota; Fungi; Ascomycota; Sordariomycetes; Lulworthiales; Lulworthiaceae. The record is from RNAcentral.
AGUAUAAGCAAUUAUACGGCGAAACUGCGAAUGGCUCAUUAUAUCAGUUAUCGUUUACUUGAUAGACCCAUACUACUUGGAUAACCGUGGUAAUUCUAGAGCUAAUACAUGCGAAAAACCGCGACUUCGGAAGCGGUGUAUUUAUUAGAUUAAAGACCAAUGCCCUUCGGGGCUGACUGGCGAUUCAUGAUAACUUCACGAAUCGCACGGCCUUGCGCCGGCGAUGGCUCAUUCAAAUUUCUGCCCUAUCAACUUUCGACUUUAGUGUAGUGGACUAAAGUGGUUGCAACGGGUAACGGAGGGUUAGGGCUCGACCCCGGAGAAGGAGCCUGAGAGACGGCUACUACAUCCAAGGAAGGCAGCAGGCGCGCAAAUUACCCAAUCCCGACUCGGGGAGGAAGUGACAAUAAAUACUGAUACAGGGCUCUUUUGGGUCUUGUAAUUGGAAUGAGUACAAUUUAAAUCUCUUAACGAGGAACAAUUGGAGGGCAAGUCUGGUGCCAGCAGCCGCGGUAAUUCCAGCUCCAAUAGCGUAUAUUAAAGUUGUUGUGGUUAAAAAGCUCGUAGUUGAACCUGGGCCUCGCGCAGACCGGUCCGCCUCACCGCGUGCACUGGUCCUGCCGGGGCUUUCACUAGGGGAUUCGCAUGUCCUUCACUGGGCGUGUGCGGAACCUGGACUUUUACUGUGAAAACAUUAGAGUGUUCAAAGCAGGCCUAUGCUCGAAUACAUAUCAUGGAAUAAUAGAAUAGGACGUGUGGUUCUAUUUUGUUGGUUAUGGGACCGCCGUAAUGAUUAAUAGGGACAGUCGGGGGCAUCAGUAUUCAAUUGUCAGAGGUGAAAUUCUUGGAUUUAUUGAAGACUAACUACUGCGAAAGCAUUUGCCAAGGAUGUUUUCAUUAAUCAGGAACGAAAGUUAGGGGAUCGAAGACGAUCAGAUACCGUCGUAGUCUUAACCAUAAACUAUGCCGACUAGGGAUCGGGCGAUGUUACUUUUUGACUCGCUCGGCACCUUACGAGAAAUCAAAGUUUGUGGGUUCCUGGGGGAGUAUGGUGGCAACGCUGAAACUAAAGAAAUUGACGGAAGGGC